GUUCGCUGACCUAGAAAUUUCAAUUCAGAAACCCAUCCAUCUCUGUUUCUUUCGCCUCUCUUCUGUGAUGAGAAUCAAGCACAGAGAGACUAGAUGCUGAUCAAAACGCUGCGUUUCGUCGGCGAUCGAAAUCCGUAUCAGAAUGUAAUCAAAUGGUACGCUCUGAUAAUUAUUUUGGAAAGAACAAAAUCAUGUGGUUUUCGUUAUGGAUAUCCAGGGACCGAUUCUGUUCCAGUGAGCUCAGGGAACUUAUGUUGAACGAAAUAAGUCCUGCUCAACCAUAGAAGGUCGCUUUCCAAAGUUUAGGAAAUGGUUCGGUCAGGAUUGACAAGCGGUCAGGGAUCAGUUUCUGAAAAAUCUGUAAUCAUUAGUUGUUUUGGUGGACACACUUUACUGUUCCAGUAACGGAACAUUAUGGAUGUGUAGUUCUAGCCUUCUAGGAUAGUUUAUAUCAAGGGCAAUGGGUUUUAUGGAAAUACUAAUGGCCUUUUGAAUUAUCAGACUGUUGUAUUAUGUUACCUCUUGGAUGUGCAUUGAUUAGUAGCCUUGCUAUUCAAAAUUGCAUACUAAUGAAACCUCGUGGACAAUGGAUUUUAUGUGUUUCCAUUGAUACUAA
Long non-coding RNA from Rosa rugosa (rugosa rose), 616 nucleotides. RefSeq lists it as uncharacterized. The record is from RefSeq and is a predicted model, not a curated record. NCBI's taxonomy places the organism in Eukaryota, Viridiplantae, Streptophyta, Magnoliopsida, Rosales, Rosaceae. The transcript is spliced from 3 exons.